ACGGGGGGAGCAAGCGUUGUUCGGAUUUACUGGGCGUAAAGGGCGCGUAGGCGGUAGCACAAGUCAGUUGUGAAAUCUCCGGGCUUAACUCGGAAAGGUCAACUGAUACUGUGCGACUAGAGUGCAGAAGGGGCAACUGGAAUUCUCGGUGUAGCGGUGAAAUGCGUAGAUAUCGAGAGGAACACCUGCGGCGAAGGCGGCCUUCUGGUCCAGUACUGACACUCAAGUGCGAAAGCGUGGGGAGCAAACAGGA
Molecule: ribosomal RNA, 253 nt
Filed under: uncultured prokaryote
Description: partial 16S ribosomal RNA
Rfam family: Bacterial small subunit ribosomal RNA
Source: RNAcentral